This 24-nucleotide non-coding RNA is filed under the name Arabidopsis thaliana (thale cress). The record is from RNAcentral. Lineage: Eukaryota; Viridiplantae; Streptophyta; Magnoliopsida; Brassicales; Brassicaceae.
UCCCAACUACCUCGUAGCUCCAGC